GGGGGAUAUUGCGCAAUGGGGGAAACCCUGACGCAGCAACGCCGCGUGAAGGAUGAAGGUCUUCGGAUUGUAAACUUCUUUUAUUAAGGACGAAGAAAGUGACGGUACUUAAUGAAUAAGCUCCGGCUAACUACGUGCCAGCAGCCGCGGUAAUACGUAGGGAGCAAGCGUUGUCCGGAUUUACUGGGUGUAAAGGGUGCGUAGGCGGCUUUGCAAGUCAGAUGUGAAAUCUAUGGGCUCAACCCAUAGCCUGCAUUUGAAACUGCAGAGCUUGAGUGAAGUAGAGGCAGGCGGAAUUCCCCGUGUAGCGGUGAAAUGCGUAGAGAUGGGGAGGAACACCAGUGGCGAAGGCGGCCUGCUGGGCUUUAACUGACGCUGAGGCACGAAAGCGUGGGUAGCAAACAGGAUUAGAUACCCUGGUAGUCCACGCUGUAAACGAUGAUUACUAGGUGUGGGGGGUCUGACCCCUUCCGUGCCGGAGUUAACGCAAUAAGCAAUCCACCUGGGAAGUACGUUCGCAAGAAUGAAACUCAAAGGAAUUGACGGGGGCCCGCACAAGCAGUGGAGUAUGUGGUUUAAUUCGACGCAACGCGAAGAACCUUACCAAGUCUUGACAUCCUGCGACGAUGCUGGAAACAGUAUUUUCCUUCGGGACGCAGAGACAGGUGGUGCAUGGUUGUCGUCAGCUCGUGUCGUGAGAUGUUGGGUUAAGUCCCGCAACGAGCGCAACCCUUACUGUCAGUUACUACGCAAGAGGACUCUGGCAGGACUGCCGUUGACAAAACGGAGGAAGGUGGGGAUGACGUCAAAUCAUCAUGCCCUUUAUGACCUGGGCUACACACGUACUACAAUGGCGUUAAACAAAGAGAAGCAAGACCGCGAGGUGGAGCAAAACUCAAAAACAACGUCUCAGUUCAGAUUGCAGGCUGCAAUUCGCCUGCAUGAAGUCGGAAUUGCUAGUAAUCGCAGAUCAGCAUGCUGCGGUGAAUACGUUCCCG
RNAcentral lists this ribosomal RNA (998 nucleotides) under uncultured bacterium. RNAcentral's name for it is "bacterial SSU rRNA". It matches the Rfam family "Bacterial small subunit ribosomal RNA", at positions 356 to 1376 of the family's 1533-position model. The record is from RNAcentral.